UCUAUACCCCAUUAUUUGCCCGACCCCUGUCUGCUCAGUUUUAGGUUGGGGUGACCACGGAGUAUAAAAUAACCUCCAUGAAGAAGGGGAUAUUUCCCUUAUUAGAGAACCACACUUCCNAGAACUAAUAAAUUAAUUUUCAAUGACCCGAUACCCGAUAAUCGAUCAACGAACCAAGUUACCCUGGGGAUAACAGCGCAAUCCACCCUGAAAGCCCUUAUUAACAGGUGGGUUUACGACCUCGAUGUUGGAUCAGGGUAUCCCAGUGGUGCAGCAGCUACUGAGGGUUCGUUUGUUCAACGAUUAA
This 307-nucleotide ribosomal RNA is filed under the name Boophis quasiboehmei. Its description in RNAcentral is "partial 16S ribosomal RNA". It matches the Rfam family "Bacterial large subunit ribosomal RNA", at positions 2230 to 2591 of the family's 2925-position model. Lineage: Eukaryota; Metazoa; Chordata; Amphibia; Anura; Mantellidae. The record is from RNAcentral.